CUCCCUCAAUCUUCAUUAGAAUCUAUACACGAAGAGCAGAGAGAGGAGUAUAGGAGUUAUACCUGUAACCGAAGUUAUUCAAUUUUGGACUCCAUCGGUGGGAUGAAGUUCUCUUAUCGGCUAAUACUCGACUUGGUCCAGCUGGGGCUCUAUUCUUUUUUUAUUUUUCUUCUAAUUUUUUUCUUCCGAUUAACAUCGUCAGU
This 203-nucleotide long non-coding RNA is filed under the name Elaeis guineensis (African oil palm). RNAcentral describes it as "long non-coding RNA (EGUI_LNC013476)". The record is from RNAcentral. Lineage: Eukaryota; Viridiplantae; Streptophyta; Magnoliopsida; Arecales; Arecaceae.